GAUGAAGAACGUAGCGAAAUGCGAUAAGUAAUGUGAAUUGCAGAAUUCAGUGAAUCAUCGAAUCUUUGAACGCACCUUGCGCCCUUUGGCCAUUCCGAAGGGCAUGCCUGUUUGAGUAUCAUGAAAACCUCAACUCUCAUGGCUUGCCAUGAUGAGCUUGGACUUUGGGGGUCUUGCUGGCCUGUGGUCGGCUCCUCUCAAAUGAAUCAGCUUGCCAGUGUUUGGUGGCAUCACAAGUGUGAUAACUAUCUGCGCUCGUGGUUUCCAUCAGAUAACCUCCAGUGAUGGAGGUUCGCUGGAGCUCAUAAAUGUCUCUCCUAAGCGAGGACAGCUCUUUUAAUGUUUGAUCUCAAAUCAGGUAGGACUACCCGCUGAACUUAAGCAUAUCAAUAAGCGGAGGA
Molecule: unclassified non-coding RNA, 401 nt
Filed under: soil metagenome
Description: partial contains 5.8S ribosomal RNA, internal transcribed spacer 2, and large subunit ribosomal RNA
Rfam family: 5.8S ribosomal RNA (bases 1-121)
Source: RNAcentral